RNAcentral lists this transfer RNA (76 nucleotides) under Candidatus Dojkabacteria bacterium. RNAcentral's name for it is "tRNA-Phe". It matches the Rfam family "tRNA". From Rfam's summary of the family: Transfer RNA (tRNA) molecules are approximately 80 nucleotides in length. Their secondary structure includes four short double-helical elements and three loops (D, anti-codon, and T loops). The record is from RNAcentral.
GCCGAGAUAGCUCAGUUGGUAGAGCAUCUGUCUGAAGAACAGAGGGUCCCCAGUUCAAAUCUGGGUCUCGGCACCA